AGAUGCAAAAUGCCUUUCAAGAAAUUCGGGUCUUUGCUCAAUGUGAUGUAGAAUUGGAGAGUAAAUUAAAAAUUCUGGAUUUUAUGAAAAGGUUUGGUAAAUUUCCAAUGAGAUUGUCGCUGUGUGACGUGUAUCCAGUCGACAGGAGAAUUCCUUUAAAGAUGACCAGUACCUUGUAUUCUGUUUUUUCCUGCUUGUUAAAAAUAAAGCGAAUUUCGGAAGGUAAAAAAAGAUGCCAGUGAAAUGACAGGGUUUAAUUUACAUGUUAAUAAUAUGUUAACUUUUAAUUAUUAA
Centruroides sculpturatus (bark scorpion) is the source of this 294-nucleotide long non-coding RNA. RefSeq lists it as uncharacterized. The record is from RefSeq and is a predicted model, not a curated record. The transcript is spliced from 3 exons. Lineage: Eukaryota; Metazoa; Arthropoda; Arachnida; Scorpiones; Buthidae.